Molecule: ribosomal RNA, 603 nt
Filed under: Acidovorax sp. 2FB7
Lineage: Bacteria; Pseudomonadati; Pseudomonadota; Betaproteobacteria; Burkholderiales; Comamonadaceae
Description: bacterial SSU rRNA
Rfam family: Bacterial small subunit ribosomal RNA
Source: RNAcentral
AAUGCCUUACCAUGCAAGUCGAACGGUAACAGGUCUUCGGAUGCUGACGAGUGGCGAACGGUGAGUAAUACAUCGGAACGUGCCCGAUCGUGGGGGAUAACGAGGCGAAGCUUUGCUAAUACCGCAUACGAUCUACGGAUGAAAGCGGGGGAUCUUCGACCUCGCGCGGACGGAGCGGCCGAUGGCAGAUUAGGUAGUUGGUGGGAAAAAGCUUACCAAGCCGACGAUCUGUAGCUGGUCUGAGAGGAUGAUCAGCACACUGGGACUGAGACACGGCCCAGACUCCUACGGGAGGCAGCAGUGGGAAUUUUGGACAAUGGGCGAAAGCCUGAUCCAGCCAUGCCGCGUGCAGGUGAAGGCCUUCGGGUUGUAAACUGCUUUUGUACGGAACGAAAAGCCUCUUCUAAUAAAGAGGGGUCAUGACGGUACCGUAAGAAUAAGCACCGGCUAAUACGUGCCAGCAGCCGCGGUAAUACGUAGGGUGCAAGCGUUAAUCGGAAUACUGGGCGUAAAGCGUGCGCAGGCGGUUUUGUAAGACAGAGGUGAAAUCCCGGGCUCAACCUGGGAACUGCCUUUGUGACUGCAAGGCUGGAGUGCGGCAGA